CCUUCUUUUCUCUCCCAGCCACCUAUCAUUUCUUUAACAUAACAUACAGGUUUCCCUCCAAUCAAUAGGCCAAUGAUCAUGCACUAUCCACCCUCAUCCCCUAGGCAGGAUAUGCCCCUCUUAGCUUUACGGCUGAGUUAAGCACUCUCUUGAAUAGAGGAAUAGGAGGCAGUGGCCAGAAUCCAUCUGACCAACGGGUUAUAGGCACUGAGCACCUCCACACUUCUCUGGUUAGGCAUCUUGACCAUUUGCUUAACCUGUUCAUUUACACAAGCACAGUCCAACCACAGCACAUAUUAAAAGAGAGUGAACAGGGCUUGUUUUCAUGCUGGCAAAUGAUACUUGGUGAUCAUAGUUCUGACCAGUGAGGCCCAACUAGUUGGAAGAUACUGUCAUGGCUCUGUCGGAUCCCAAUUCAGAGGAGGAGGAGGAGGAGUUGGAAUCAGGAUCAUCAGAUGGGAUGGCAUGGUCCCUCAGAACAAGUGAAGAGUUCAGGGACUGAGGACAAGGCAGUCCUAGGUCCUUCCGACAGUGGGGGGAAGGGGAAACGACUGGACAGAGAGCCACCUGAAGGAGCAUAUGAGCUGCAGAGAGUCAGCAGAGAUGACAAGGUCCAGACCAUCUCUGACAUGGAACAGCUGCCUCCCCCACCUGAACCAUGGGUGCGGAGUUGGAGUGGACGGAGGCACAGAGGAGAUCGGCAAGGUUGCUUGCGAGGAAGCAACCCUGCCACUAGUCACAAGAAACACCUGGCAAAGGGUGAUUGGAGAUGCUGGGGGAAGGUGUGUUUGUUAGGAACACCUGUCUGCUUUGGUGUGCACCUUCCCAGUUUUCGUGGACUCUUAUUUCUUGAAUCUUGGACUGUGCUUUUGAACUCUGAACCUCUGGUUUUAAUUGUGGGCUCUGGAAUUGCUUUCCUGCCUUCAGAAUUUUGGACUGUGCUUUGGCUUUCGGAAUCUUGGACUCUGUAUUGCAGAUUGUGGUUUUGUGAGCUGUGUGUCUUGCCCUUGUGUCUUGUGGGUCAACUUGACCCUAAUUUGUGGAACCAGGUAAUUCUGAUGGAGGGGGACCAUGGACAGGGAAAGUGGGGUUGAGCUUUACCAGUUCCAUUGGUGAAUUGUUGGAUGUUGUGUAAGUGAGUAAUAAACUGACUUUUACC
Long non-coding RNA from Pantherophis guttatus, 1159 nucleotides. RefSeq lists it as uncharacterized. The record is from RefSeq and is a predicted model, not a curated record. Lineage: Eukaryota; Metazoa; Chordata; Lepidosauria; Squamata; Colubridae.